AACGAACGCUGGCGGCAUGCCUAACACAUGCAAGUCGAACGAGACCUUCGGGUCUAGUGGCGCACGGGUGCGUAACGCGUGGGAACCUGCCCUUAGGUUCGGAAUAACUCCCCGAAAGGGGUGCUAAUACCGGAUAAUGUCUUCGGACCAAAGAUUUAUCGCCUUUGGAUGGGCCCGCGUUGGAUUAGCUAGUUGGUAGGGUAAAAGCCUACCAAGGCGACGAUCCAUAGCUGGUCUGAGAGGAUGAUCAGCCACACUGGGGCUGAGACACGGCCCAGACUCCUACGGGAGGCGGCAGUGGGGAAUAUUGGACAAUGGGCGAAAGCCUGAUCCAGCAAUGCCGCGUGAGUGAUGAAGGCCUUAGGGUUGUAAAGCUCUUUUACCCGGGAUGAUAAUGACAGUACCGGGAGAAUAAGCUCCGGCUAACUCCGUG
Molecule: ribosomal RNA, 433 nt
Filed under: uncultured bacterium
Lineage: Bacteria
Description: partial 16S ribosomal RNA
Rfam family: Bacterial small subunit ribosomal RNA
Source: RNAcentral